Molecule: transfer RNA, 76 nt
Filed under: Candidatus Peribacteria bacterium
Lineage: Bacteria; Candidatus Peregrinibacteriota; Candidatus Peribacteria
Description: tRNA-Ala
Rfam family: tRNA
About the family: Transfer RNA (tRNA) molecules are approximately 80 nucleotides in length. Their secondary structure includes four short double-helical elements and three loops (D, anti-codon, and T loops).
Source: RNAcentral
GGGGCUAUAGCUCAGCUGAUAGAGGGCUACAUUCGCAUUGUAGAGGUCGAGGGUUUAAAUCCCUUCAGCUCCACCA